RNAcentral lists this small nucleolar RNA (82 nucleotides) under Carlito syrichta (Philippine tarsier). RNAcentral's name for it is "Small nucleolar RNA SNORD115 (ENSTSYG00000034986.1)". It matches the Rfam family "Small nucleolar RNA SNORD115". From Rfam's summary of the family: HBII-52 is a member of the C/D class of snoRNAs, which contain the C (UGAUGA) and D (CUGA) box motifs. HBII-52 is encoded in a tandemly repeated array with another C/D snoRNA, HBII-85, in the Prader-Willi syndrome (PWS) region of chromosome 15. HBII-52 is exclusively expressed in the brain but is absent in PWS patients. The record is from Rfam by way of RNAcentral. Lineage: Eukaryota; Metazoa; Chordata; Mammalia; Primates; Tarsiidae.
GGGUCAAUGAUGAAAGCUUUGCAUUGUAUAUAGAGAGCUGAUGAAUUAAAAGUCAUGCUCAACAGAAUUAUGCUUGAGUUCC